AACGAACGCUGGCGGCAGGCCUAACACAUGCAAGUCGAGGGGGAAGCUAUUUUCGGAUAGUGGAGACCGGCGCACGGGUGAGUAACGCGUGGGAACCUACCCUGGGGUGGGGGAUAACCGCUGGAAACGGCGGCUAAUACCGCAUACGCCUUGAGAGGGAAAGAUUUAUCGCCCUGGGACGGGCCCGCGUUGGAUUAGCUUGUUGGUGAGGUAAAGGCUCACCAAGGCUGCGAUCCAUAGCUGGUCUGAGAGGAUGAUCAGCCACACUGGGACUGAGACACGGCCCAGACUCCUACGGGAGGCAGCAGUGGGGAAUAUUGGACAAUGGGGGCAACCCUGAUCCAGCCAUGCCGCGUGCGUGAAGAAGGCCUUAGGGUUGUAAAGCGCUUUCACCGGUGAAGAUGAUGACGGUAGCCGGAGAAGAAGCCCCGGCUAACUCCGUG
RNAcentral lists this ribosomal RNA (443 nucleotides) under uncultured bacterium. RNAcentral's name for it is "bacterial SSU rRNA". It matches the Rfam family "Bacterial small subunit ribosomal RNA", at positions 29 to 507 of the family's 1533-position model. The record is from RNAcentral.